GAUGAAGAACGCAGUGAAAUGCGAUAAGUAAUGUGAAUUGCAGAAUUCAGUGAAUCAUCGAAUCUUUGAACGCACAUUGCGCCCCUUGGUAUUCCGAGGGGCAUGCCUGUUCGAGCGUCAUUAUAACCCUCAAGCUCAGCUUGGUGUUGGGGCCUGCUGCAGUGGCAGCCCUUAAAAUCAGUGGCGGCGCCAUCUGGCUCUAAGCGUAGUAAUUCUUCUCGCUAUGGAGUCCUGGUGGAUGCUUGCCAUCAACCCCCAAUUUUACUAUGGUUGACCUCGGAUCAGGUAGGGAUACCCGCUGAACUUAAGCAUAUCAAUAAGCGGAGGA
This 328-nucleotide unclassified non-coding RNA is filed under the name soil metagenome. Its description in RNAcentral is "partial contains 5.8S ribosomal RNA, internal transcribed spacer 2, and large subunit ribosomal RNA". The stretch from base 1 to 120 matches the Rfam family "5.8S ribosomal RNA", at positions 35 to 154 of the family's 154-position model. The record is from RNAcentral.